RNAcentral lists this ribosomal RNA (377 nucleotides) under uncultured bacterium. Its description in RNAcentral is "bacterial SSU rRNA". It matches the Rfam family "Bacterial small subunit ribosomal RNA", at positions 30 to 399 of the family's 1533-position model. The record is from RNAcentral.
AUUGAACGCUGGCGGCAUGCUUUACACAUGCAAGUCGAACGGCAGCGCGGGGGCAACCCUGGCGGCGAGUGGCGAACGGGUGAGUAAUGCAUCGGAACGUAUCCUGUAAUGGGGGAUAACGUAGCGAAAGUUACGCUAAUACCGCAUACGCUCGAGAGAGGAAAGUGGGGGAGUCGCAAGACCUCACGUUAUAGGAGCGGCCGAUGUCUGAUUAGCUAGUUGGUGGGGUAAAGGCCUACCAAGGCGACGAUCGGUAGCUGGUCUGAGAGGAUGAUCAGCCACACUGGGACUGAGACACGGCCCAGACUCCUACGGGAGGCAGCAGUGGGGGAAUUUUUGGGUACAAAUGGGCGGAAAGACCUGAUCCAGCCAUGCCG